Non-coding RNA from Acanthosepion pharaonis, 110 nucleotides. Lineage: Eukaryota; Metazoa; Mollusca; Cephalopoda; Sepiida; Sepiidae. The record is from the annotation of a GenBank genome assembly.
CGCCAUAUCACAUUGAAACGCUGGCUCCAUUAUGAUCACCGAAGUUAAGCUACAUGGAGCCUGGUCAAUACCUAGAUGGGUGACCAUUUUAGAAUACCAAGUGCUGUAAG